This 442-nucleotide ribosomal RNA is filed under the name uncultured bacterium. RNAcentral describes it as "partial 16S ribosomal RNA". It matches the Rfam family "Bacterial small subunit ribosomal RNA", at positions 338 to 795 of the family's 1533-position model. The record is from RNAcentral.
CCUACGGGAGACAGCAGUGGGGGAUAUUGCACAAUGGGGGAAACCCUGAUGCAGCGACGCCGCGUGGGCGAAGAAGUAUUUCGGUAUGUAAAGCCCUAUCAGCAGGGAAGAAGAAAUGACGGUACCUGAGUAAGAAGCACCGGCUAAAUACGUGCCAGCAGCCGCGGUAAUACGUAUGGUGCAAGCGUUAUCCGGAUUGACUGGGUGUAAAGGGAGCGCAGGCGGCACGGCAAGCCUGAUGUGAAAGCCCGGGGCCCAACCGCGGGACUGCAUUGGGAACUACCGGGCUGGAGUGCCGGAGAGGUAGGCGGAAUGCCUAGUGUAGCGGUGAAAUGCGUAGAUAUUAGGAGGAACACCAGUGGCGAAGGCGGCCUACUGGACGGUGACUGACGCUGAGGCUCGAAAGCGUGGGGAGCAAACAGGAUUAGAUACCCUUGUAGUC